AUUGAACGCUGGCGGAAUGCUUUACACAUGCAAGUCGAACGGUAGAGGGGGCAACCCCUUGAGAGUGGCGAACGGGUGAGUAAUAUAUCGGAACGUGCCCAGUCGUGGGGAUAACGUAGCGAAAGUUACGCUAAUACCGCAUACGAUCUAAGGAUGAAAGCGGGGGAUCGCAAGACCUCGCGCGAUUGGAGCGGCCGAUAUCAGAUUAGGUAGUUGGUGAGGUAAAGGCUCGCCAAGCCAACGAUCUGUAGCUGGUCUGAGAGGACGACCAGCCACACUGGAACUGAGACACGGUCCAGACUCCUACGGGAGGCAGCAGUGGGGAAUUUUGGACAAUGGACGCAAGUCUGAUCCAGCCAUUCCGCGUGCAGGAUGAAGGCCCUCGGGUUGUAAACUGCUUUUGUACGGAACGAAAAGGUUUCUAUUAAUACUAGGAGCUCAUGACGGUACCGUAAGAAUAAGC
RNAcentral lists this ribosomal RNA (463 nucleotides) under uncultured bacterium. Its description in RNAcentral is "bacterial SSU rRNA". It matches the Rfam family "Bacterial small subunit ribosomal RNA", at positions 30 to 491 of the family's 1533-position model. The record is from RNAcentral.